RNAcentral lists this long non-coding RNA (275 nucleotides) under Dunaliella salina. RNAcentral describes it as "long non-coding RNA (DSAL_LNC000240)". Lineage: Eukaryota; Viridiplantae; Chlorophyta; Chlorophyceae; Chlamydomonadales; Dunaliellaceae. The record is from RNAcentral.
AGAAAGACUAUCUGUGAAGCGGGCUGGAAAGCGUGCUUUCUAGAAAGCCGACUAGGAAUUGAGGAGAAGGCGUGCCUGUGUGUGCUUCUCCUUGCUUUCUCAUGCUUACUGUCUGGGUUUCUAGCUUGCUUUCUGACUGGCUUUCUGACGCUUUCCCUGGAAAGGGGGUGCCACGCUUUCUGAGAAAGACUAUCUGUAAAGCGGGCUGGAAAGCGUGCUUUCUAGAAAGCCGACUAGGAAUCGAGGAGAAGGCGUGCCUGUGUGUGCUUCUCCUU